GGGGGUAGUUUUUACUACGUAGGCGAUGGGCAUGGAUGGCGAAUCGUACAUGCUGCUACUAAGAACCAGCAGUAUCUCUGGAAGAUUUUCUACCUCC
Molecule: non-coding RNA, 97 nt
Organism: Glossina pallidipes
Lineage: Eukaryota; Metazoa; Arthropoda; Insecta; Diptera; Glossinidae
Source: Rfam